Molecule: ribosomal RNA, 483 nt
Filed under: uncultured bacterium
Lineage: Bacteria
Description: partial 16S ribosomal RNA
Rfam family: Bacterial small subunit ribosomal RNA
Source: RNAcentral
GACGAACGCUGGCGGCGUGCUUAACACAUGCAAGUCGAACGCUGAAGCUCAGCUUUUGUUGGGUGGUCGAGUGGCGAACGGGUGAGUAACACGUGAGUAACCUGCCCCCUACUUUGGGAUAACGCCCGGAAACGGGUGCUAAUACUGGAUAUUCACUGGUCUUCGCUUGGGGGUGUGUGGAAAGUGCUUUUCUGGUGGGGGAUGGGCUCGCGGCCUAUCAGCUUGUUGGUGGGGUGAUUGCCUAACACGGCUAUGACGGGUAGCCGGCCUGAGAGGGUGACCGGUCACAUUGGGAGUGAGAUAGGGCCAAGACUACUGCGGGAGGCAGUAGUGGGGGCACUUGCGAGAAGUGUGCCAGCCUGAUGCAGAGCCUCCGCGUGAGAGAUGGAGGCCUUGGGGUUGUGCACCUCGUUGGCUCAUGGUCAAGCCGCAACAAUGGUUGUGGUGAGGGUAAUGGGUAAAGAAGCGCCGGCUAACUACGUG